Molecule: small RNA, 303 nt
Filed under: Theobroma cacao (cacao)
Lineage: Eukaryota; Viridiplantae; Streptophyta; Magnoliopsida; Malvales; Malvaceae
Description: sRNA Tc10v2_g013760
Source: RNAcentral
AAGAGAAAAGUGUGAAAAUUCAAGGAAACAAGUGAAAAAAAAGGUGGUGAGUCCUCCGAUAAAGGCAAACAAAUUGCAUCCGAUGACCAGUAGUCAGAGUAUUUCAAAAAUUCACACUCUAAACAUUUGGGCUGAGCUCUAUGGACUAGCUUAUUAGAGGGGCACAGAAUCCUGACAUAUUUAACCUCAGUUGGAGAGGCGAGUAUGGUAACUCCUAAGGCUCAGUAUAGGCUAUAGAUAUCUAAUAUCGUCAAAGGCUACAGUUGGCUUUACUUCUUCAAAAACUUUACUCAGAGGGAAAAU